RNAcentral lists this long non-coding RNA (539 nucleotides) under Lathyrus oleraceus (garden pea). Its description in RNAcentral is "Pisum sativum (pea) long non-coding RNA (PSAT_LNC017140)". Lineage: Eukaryota; Viridiplantae; Streptophyta; Magnoliopsida; Fabales; Fabaceae. The record is from RNAcentral.
AUCUACUUACUAUCUCCUUGCAUUUUUCUUCAUUCUCCUUCCAUUUUUCUUUGAAAUGUCUUCAUAUUCAUAUAUGUGUCUUUAUAUUCACAAGAGAAAUGUCGAUUUAAUUUUUUCAGCAGUGUAGCCUCCGAUGAAGAUCCGACUUUGAAAUGUAGAUACGUUUGAACAUCUUAAUAGGAUCUUAAACAGUUGGUUAGAUGGAGACAUUGCAGAGGGUGAAAAGAUCAGCAGAAUUCAAUGACUUGAUACCACGUUCAACCAAAAUGGAGAAGUUCAUUUCUAGGUGGAUGUUAAAACUGACAAAGACGUUCAUAUGAUGAUGUAUACUUCUCACAAAAUUGUUUUGAUGGUUGUAAUCGCAUAGUUAUGUUGCUUAUGUGUUGUAUUUAUUUGUGAUGUUAUUUUAUUUGUUGUAGUUAUUUGUGUUGUUGUUUAAUUAUUGUUUAAUUGUUGUUUUCAAGUUUUUGUAAUUGAAUCUUAUGAUAUUUAUUAAAUGAAUUUUGUUUUAAAUAUAAAGAAAAAGGGUUACAAUUAAA